RNAcentral lists this transfer RNA (72 nucleotides) under Camelus bactrianus (Bactrian camel). It matches the Rfam family "tRNA". Rfam says of the family: Transfer RNA (tRNA) molecules are approximately 80 nucleotides in length. Their secondary structure includes four short double-helical elements and three loops (D, anti-codon, and T loops). Further hydrogen bonds mediate the characteristic L-shaped molecular structure. tRNAs have two regions of fundamental functional importance: the anti-codon, which is responsible for specific mRNA codon recognition, and the 3' end, to which the tRNAs corresponding amino acid is attached (by aminoacyl-tRNA synthetases). tRNAs cope with the degeneracy of the genetic code in two manners: having more than one tRNA (with a specific anti-codon) for a particular amino acid; and 'wobble' base-pairing, i.e. permitting non-standard base-pairing at the 3rd anti-codon position. Lineage: Eukaryota; Metazoa; Chordata; Mammalia; Artiodactyla; Camelidae. The record is from Rfam by way of RNAcentral. RNAcentral also lists the same sequence under 2 other names.
GGGGGUAUAGCUCAGUGGUAAAGCACAUACUUAGCAUGCACAAGGUCCUGGGUUCAAUUCCCAAUACCUCCA